This 492-nucleotide ribosomal RNA is filed under the name uncultured bacterium. RNAcentral describes it as "partial 16S ribosomal RNA". It matches the Rfam family "Bacterial small subunit ribosomal RNA", at positions 29 to 507 of the family's 1533-position model. The record is from RNAcentral.
AGUGAACGCUGGCGGUAUGCCUAACACAUGCAAGUCGAACGGCAACACAGUAACAGCUUGCUCUUACUGGUGGCCAGUGGCGUACGUGUGGGGAAUACAUCGGGAUCUGCUUUUUCGUGGGGGAUAACGUAGGGAAACUUACGCUAAUACCUCAUACGACAUACGGGUGAAAGCAGGGGAUCGUCGGACCUGCCUCGAUUGAAUGAGCCGAUGUCGGAUUUGCUAGUUGGCGGGGUAAAGGCCCACCAAGGCGACGAUCCGUAGCUGGUCUGAGAGGAUGACCAGCCACACUGGAACUGAGAAACGGCCCAGACUCCUACGGGAGGCAGCAGUGGGGAAUAUUGGACAAUGGGCGAAAGCCUGAUCCAGCAAUACCGCGUGGGUGAAGAAGGCCUUCGGGUUGUAAAGUCCUUUUGUUGGGAAAGAAAAGCAGCAGGUUAAUACCCCGCUGUUCUGACGGUACCCAAAGAAUAAGCACCGGCUAACUUCGUG